UGGAUGCAAUACCUAUGCAAGAUUGUUUUAAUGUUCAAGAGGGAUGCUGUACAGUUUAAGCCUGCUUUCUGUCUUCCCAUUUUACAGAAUCUCUGGAGGUGGUCACUCAAGUAAACUGCUUAGACACCAUGUGUGAGUACCUGGAGUCUACUUUUCUCUAAUGAACUGAGUCUAACAUGAAGAGAGUAUCACAGAUAAAUUUCCUGCUGUCAGUAGCACACCAGAGAAGAUUAAUAAGAGAUGAAAGAAUAACUCCUCCUCACAAGAAACAGCAGAUGUAAUUUGGUGCUUGCAGCAAGGAGAUGAGACUGACAGAUGAUGCACUCAUAUUUACAGAGUGUGGUUCCAUUGUCCUGACACCUAGCAUGAUCUUCAUUCACAACGAGUUUGAUAUCUGCUAUGAAAUGCCUAUGAGUAAGUGCUGAAUGUUCAGCAUUUCAGAAGGAAAAUAUUUUCAUUGAAGCAGAUGUUUCUCAGAUUCUUCAGGAGCCUAAAACAUUUCCUGAAAGUGUUGCUACUCUCCACAGGGAAAGACAGAACAGAUCUUCAUUUGGAAAUGAAGCAUCUCGUGAUGAAAAAAAUUUCGACUGCUUCAGAGGAAGACAAAAGGCAUGAACAUAUGAAGAGGAAUGCUGAAGAAAGAUGGACCACAAAGAUUUGUGAUUAUUUCCAGAAUGUUAUGUCACAAGUGACAAAAACUUAGCAGUCUAUCAGUUCGGUUCUCUGAUAUGAUCAUGUGAAAAGAAAUAUAAAAAAAUAGGCCCUAGUAAAGCAAUUUACAGCUACAGAAAACCCCAGCUGAAUGCUCUGAUUGUUAAUGUGUUUGUACCUUUACAAAUUUUAAUUGGAUAAUCUAUCAUCAAAACUUUAUUCCAUGUAUGGCAGCAACCGUAAAAUUAAAGGUAAAGGUUUCAAGGAUGUGAAACUGAAUUUCUAGAAGACAAACUGCUUUUGAUGUGAGGUAUAUGUGUGUGUCCUUUUGUUGCUCAGCUCACUGUCAUUCAUGUCAAGGAAAUACUUUUUGUUUGAAGUUAUAAUAAACAUUUCACAUCUUUUCAUGUCAUGUACUUGUA
Long non-coding RNA from Zonotrichia albicollis (white-throated sparrow), 1073 nucleotides. RefSeq lists it as uncharacterized. NCBI's taxonomy places the organism in Eukaryota, Metazoa, Chordata, Aves, Passeriformes, Passerellidae. The record is from RefSeq and is a predicted model, not a curated record.